This 283-nucleotide long non-coding RNA is filed under the name Gossypium barbadense (sea-island cotton). Its description in RNAcentral is "long non-coding RNA (GBAR_LNC023322)". The record is from RNAcentral. Lineage: Eukaryota; Viridiplantae; Streptophyta; Magnoliopsida; Malvales; Malvaceae.
GCUAACUUAGGAGAUUAUUAUAAAUAGCUGAAUUUUUUUACUUUGUAAAAAACUUUUUGACAUUUUAAUUAGCGAAUUGCUGCCAAAUUUGUGAGGCAUUUUCUCUCAAAUUUCGUUCGAAGCCCGUAAGGCUUAUCUAAGCUUUUAGUGGCGUCUUUCCGAGUCUUUUCCGAACUUAUCACUCCUUAAACCCGAGUGUGGCGUUCACCUUUGAUACCUUUGGUUCAUACUUUCCUAAGUAUCGGGUCAAGGUCCUUUUUUAACCAUUUCCAAUUCAUUUAGG